GGGUGAUUAGCUCACCUGGGAGAGCACCUCCCUUACAAGGAGGGGGUCGGCGGUUCGAUCCCGUCAUCACCCACCA
Molecule: transfer RNA, 76 nt
Filed under: Escherichia coli
Lineage: Bacteria; Pseudomonadati; Pseudomonadota; Gammaproteobacteria; Enterobacterales; Enterobacteriaceae
Also listed under: 2 other names
Description: tRNA-Val
Rfam family: tRNA
About the family: Transfer RNA (tRNA) molecules are approximately 80 nucleotides in length. Their secondary structure includes four short double-helical elements and three loops (D, anti-codon, and T loops).
Source: RNAcentral